Molecule: ribosomal RNA, 253 nt
Filed under: uncultured bacterium
Lineage: Bacteria
Description: partial 16S ribosomal RNA
Rfam family: Bacterial small subunit ribosomal RNA
Source: RNAcentral
UACGGAGGGUGCAAGCGUUGUCCGGAAUCACUGGGCGUAAAGGGCGCGUAGGCGGCUCAUGAAGGCUGUGGUGAAAGUCCGGGGCUCAACCUCGGAUCGGCCGUGGCGACUCGUGGGCUGGAGCACUGUAGAGGCGGGUGGAAUUCCGGGUGUAGCGGUGGAAUGCGUAGAGAUCCGGAAGAACACCAGUGGCGAAGGCGGCCCGCUGAGCAGUGGCUGACGCUGAGGCGCGACAGCGUGGGGAGCAAACAGG